This is a long non-coding RNA of Dioscorea cayenensis subsp. rotundata (Guinea yam), 423 nucleotides long. RefSeq lists it as uncharacterized. The transcript is spliced from 2 exons. Lineage: Eukaryota; Viridiplantae; Streptophyta; Magnoliopsida; Dioscoreales; Dioscoreaceae. The record is from RefSeq and is a predicted model, not a curated record.
GGAAGAAUCACUGCAGUUUUGCUACUAACAACAGGUUUAGAAGAAUGGAAUGUUUAUAGAAUAAACAAUUGAUCGAAGAAAUCAUGACACUACUUGUAAAAACACGGAAAAGAAAAAGCGAAUGCGCCGUGCCGACGACAACGAUGAAUAUAAAGAAUCAAGUAGAUGUCAACAAUUUAUCAGAAAUUAGUUUCCAAAGCAUGAAGAAAACAGGAUUGGAAAAGGACACUGAAGGAUCUGAAAAAGUAAUUUGAGCUUCAUGAAAAGAAUGGAUUGAUGAAAGUUUGCUGUGUGUUUUGUCAGGAGGAGGUUGGUGUUGUGUUUUUGUGUCUCUGUUUGAAGAAAAGAUCAAUUGGUUUUUUGUGAGAAUGAAACAGUUCAUUAACUGCAAUUUAUCAUAAAUUAUACAAAUAGUUUCAUAUA